UGAGUUGAUUAAAAUAGUCGCUUGUACGAAAUAUAAAUUUUGUAUAAGAGGAAAGUCCGGACUUCAUAAGGCAGGGUGCCAGAUAACUUCUGGGAAAUAUAAAAUAUUUACGAAAAGUGCAACAGAAAAAAUACCGCUUGUUUUUGCAAGUAAGGGUGAAAUGGUAUGGUAAGAGCAUACCGCAUUUUUGGUAACAAAAAUGGCAUUGCAAACUCCACUUGAAGAAAGGCUAAGUAUAGUUUAGUUCGCCUGACUAAUAAACUAGGGUAAGCUGAUUGAAUUAAUAUGCGAAUAUUAAUCUAGAAAAAUGACUAUUUAAAACAGAAUCCGGCUUAUUAAUCAACUCUUUUU
Molecule: RNase P RNA, 351 nt
Filed under: bacterium endosymbiont of Pedicinus badii
Lineage: Bacteria; Pseudomonadati; Pseudomonadota; Gammaproteobacteria
Description: Bacterial RNase P class A
Rfam family: Bacterial RNase P class A
About the family: Ribonuclease P (RNase P) is a ubiquitous endoribonuclease, found in archaea, bacteria and eukarya as well as chloroplasts and mitochondria.
Source: Rfam by way of RNAcentral